RNAcentral lists this ribosomal RNA (468 nucleotides) under uncultured bacterium. RNAcentral describes it as "partial 16S ribosomal RNA". It matches the Rfam family "Bacterial small subunit ribosomal RNA", at positions 28 to 507 of the family's 1533-position model. The record is from RNAcentral.
GACGAACGCUGGCGGCGUGCUUAACACAUGCAAGUCGAACGGAAAGGCCCUGCUUUUGUGGGGUGCUCGAGUGGCGAACGGGUGAGUAACACGUGAGUAACCUGCCCUUGACUUUGGGAUAACUUCAGGAAACUGGGGCUAAUACCGGAUAGGAGCUCCUGCUGCAUGGUGGGGGUUGGAAAGUUUCGGCGGUUGGGGAUGGACUCGCGGCUUAUCAGCUUGUUGGUGGGGUAGUGGCUUACCAAGGCUUUGACGGGUAGCCGGCCUGAGAGGGUGACCGGCCACAUUGGGACUGAGAUACGGCCCAGACUCCUACGGGAGGCAGCAGUGGGGAAUAUUGCACAAUGGGCGGAAGCCUGAUGCAGCAACGCCGCGUGCGGGAUGACGGCCUUCGGGUUGUAAACCGCUUUCGCCUGUGACGAGGCGUGAGUGACGGUAAUGGGUAAAGAAGCACCGGCUAACUGCGUG